UUUAGAGUUUGAUUCCCUGGCUCAGGACGAACGCUGGCGGCGUGCCUAAUACAUGCAAGUCGAGCGGACAGAAGGGAGCUUGCUCCCGGAUGUUAGCGGCGGACGGGUGAGUAACACGUGGGUAACCUGCCUGUAAGACUGGGAUAACUCCGGGAAACCGGAGCUAAUACCGGAUAGUUCCUUGAACCGCAUGGUUCAAGGAUGAAAGACGGUUUCGGCUGUCACUUACAGAUGGACCCGCGGCGCAUUAGCUAGUUGGUGAGGUAACGGCUCACCAAGGCGACGAUGCGUAGCCGACCUGAGAGGGUGAUCGGCCACACUGGGACUGAGACACGGCCCAGACUCCUACGGGAGGCAGCAGUAGGGAAUCUUCCGCAAUGGACGAAAGUCUGACGGAGCAACGCCGCGUGAGUGAUGAAGGUUUUCGGAUCGUAAAGCUCUGUUGUUAGGGAAGAACAAGUGCAAGAGUAACUGCUUGCACCUUGACGGUACCUAACCA
This 499-nucleotide ribosomal RNA is filed under the name Bacillus pumilus. RNAcentral describes it as "bacterial SSU rRNA". It matches the Rfam family "Bacterial small subunit ribosomal RNA", at positions 1 to 485 of the family's 1533-position model. The record is from RNAcentral. Lineage: Bacteria; Bacillati; Bacillota; Bacilli; Caryophanales; Bacillaceae.